RNAcentral lists this ribosomal RNA (465 nucleotides) under uncultured bacterium. RNAcentral describes it as "partial 16S ribosomal RNA". It matches the Rfam family "Bacterial small subunit ribosomal RNA", at positions 28 to 507 of the family's 1533-position model. The record is from RNAcentral.
GACGAACGCUGGCGGCGUGCUUAACACAUGCAAGUCGAACGGAAAGGCCCUGCUUGCAGGGUACUCGAGUGGCGAACGGGUGAGUAACACGUGGGUGAUCUGCCCUGCACUUCGGGAUAAGCCUGGGAAACUGGGUCUAAUACCGGAUAGGAGACAUUUUUAGUGUGAUGGUUGGAAAGUUUUUUCGGUGUAGGAUGAGCUCGCGGCCUAUCAGCUUGUUGGUGGGGUAAUGGCCUACCAAGGCGGCGACGGGUGGCCGGCCUGUGAGGGUGGACGGCCACCUUGGGACUUAGAGACGGCCCCGACUCCUACUGGUGGCAGCAGUGGGGAAUCUUGCCCAAUGGGCGCCAGCCUGAUGCAGCGACGCCGCGUGGGGGAUGACGGCCUUCGGGUUGUAAACUCCUUUCGCUAGGGACGAAGCUUUUUGUGACGGUACCUAGAUAAGAAGCCCCGGCUAACUACGUG